This 468-nucleotide ribosomal RNA is filed under the name uncultured bacterium. Its description in RNAcentral is "partial 16S ribosomal RNA". It matches the Rfam family "Bacterial small subunit ribosomal RNA", at positions 28 to 507 of the family's 1533-position model. The record is from RNAcentral.
GAUGAACGCUGGCGGCGUGCUUAACACAUGCAAGUCGAACGGUGAAGGCGGAGCUUGCUCUGCUGGAUCAGUGGCGAACGGGUGAGUAACACGUGAGCAAUCUGCCCCUGACUCUGGGAUAAGCGCUGGAAACGGCGUCUAAUACUGGAUACGAGCUGCGAAGGCAUCUUCAGCAGCUGGAAAGAAUUUCGGUCAGGGAUGAGCUCGCGGCCUAUCAGCUUGUUGGUGAGGUAAUGGCUCACCAAGGCGUCGACGGGUAGCCGGCCUGAGAGGGUGACCGGCCACACUGGGACUGAGACACGGACCAGACUCCUACGGGAGGCAGCAGUGGGGAAUAUUGCGCAAUGGGCGAAAGCCUGAUGCAGCAACGCCGCGUGAGGGACGACGGCCUUCGGGUUGUAAACCUCUUUUAGCAGGGAAGAAGCGAAAGUGACGGUACCUGCAGAAAAAGCGCCGGCUAACUACGUG